This 496-nucleotide ribosomal RNA is filed under the name uncultured bacterium. RNAcentral's name for it is "partial 16S ribosomal RNA". It matches the Rfam family "Bacterial small subunit ribosomal RNA", at positions 28 to 507 of the family's 1533-position model. The record is from RNAcentral.
GAUGAACGCUGGCGGCGUGCCUAAUACAUGCAAGUCGAGCGAACAGAUGAGGAGCUUGCUCCUCUGACGUUAGCGGCGGACGGGUGAGUAACACGUGGAUACCUACCUAUAAGACUGGGAUAACUUCGGGAAACCGGAGCUAAUACCGGAUAAUAUAUUGAACCGCAUGGUUCAAUAGUGAAAGACGGUUUUGCUGUCACUUAUAGAUGGAUCCGCGCCGCAUUAGCUAGUUGGUAAGGUAACGGCUUACCAAGGCAACGAUGCGUAGCCGACCUGAGAGGGUGAUCGGCCACACUGGAACUGAGACACGGUCCAGACUCCUACGGGAGGCAGCAGUAGGGAAUCUUCCGCAAUGGGCGAAAGCCUGACGGAGCAACGCCGCGUGAGUGAUGAAGGUCUUCGGAUCGUAAAACUCUGUUAUUAGGGAAGAACAAAUGUGUAAGUAACUAUGCACGUCUUGACGGUACCUAAUCAGAAAGCCACGGCUAACUACGUG